RNAcentral lists this ribosomal RNA (1268 nucleotides) under uncultured bacterium. RNAcentral describes it as "bacterial SSU rRNA". It matches the Rfam family "Bacterial small subunit ribosomal RNA", at positions 104 to 1367 of the family's 1533-position model. The record is from RNAcentral.
GGGUGAGUAAUGCUUAGGAAUCUGCCUAUUAGUGGGGGACAACAUUCCGAAAGGAAUGCUAAUACCGCAUACGCCCUACGGGGGAAAGCAGGGGAUCUUCGGACCUUGCGCUAAUAGAUGAGCCUAAGUCGGAUUAGCUAGUUGGUGGGGUAAAGGCCUACCAAGGCGACGAUCUGUAGCGGGUCUGAGAGGAUGAUCCGCCACACUGGGACUGAGACACGGCCCAGACUCCUACGGGAGGCAGCAGUGGGGAAUAUUGGACAAUGGGCGGAAGCCUGAUCCAGCCAUGCCGCGUGUGUGAAGAAGGCCUUUUGGUUGUAAAGCACUUUAAGCGAGGAGGGGGCUCCUUUAGUUAAUACCUAAAGUGAGUGGACGUUACUCGCAGAAUAAGCACCGGCUAACUCUGUGCCAGCAGCCGCGGUAAUACAGAGGGUGCGAGCGUUAAUCGGAUUUACUGGGCGUAAAGCGUGCGUAGACGGCUUUUUAAGUCGGAUGUGAAAUCCCUGAGCUUAACUUAGGAAUUGCAUUCGAUACUGGAAAGCUAGAGUAUGGGAGAGGAUGGUAGAAUUCCAGGUGUAGCGGUGAAAUGCGUAGAGAUCUGGAGGAAUACCGAUGGCGAAGGCAGCCAUCUGGCCUAAUACUGACGCUGAGGUACGAAAGCAUGGGGAGCAAACAGGAUUAGAUACCCUGGUAGUCCAUGCCGUAAACGAUGUCUACUAGCCGUUGGGGCCUUUGAGGCUUUAGUGGCGCAGCUAACGCGAUAAGUAGACCGCCUGGGGAGUACGGUCGCAAGACUAAAACUCAAAUGAAUUGACGGGGGCCCGCACAAGCGGUGGAGCAUGUGGUUUAAUUCGAUGCAACGCGAAGAACCUUACCUGGCCUUGACAUACUAAGAACUUUCCAGAGAUGGAUUGGUGCCUUCGGGAACUUAGAUACAGGUGCUGCAUGGCUGUCGUCAGCUCGUGUCGUGAGAUGUUGGGUUAAGUCCCGCAACGAGCGCAACCCUUUUCCUUAUUUGCCAGCGGGUAAUGCCGGGAACUUUAAGGAUACUGCCAGUGACAAACUGGAGGAAGGCGGGGACGACGUCAAGUCAUCAUGGCCCUUACGGCCAGGGCUACACACGUGCUACAAUGGUCGGUACAAAGGGUUGCUACCUCGCGAGAGGAUGCUAAUCUCAAAAAGCCGAUCGUAGUCCGGAUCGCAGUCUGCAACUCGACUGCGUGAAGUCGGAAUCGCUAGUAAUCGCGGAUCAGAAUGCCGCGGUGAAU